RNAcentral lists this ribosomal RNA (274 nucleotides) under uncultured bacterium. Its description in RNAcentral is "partial 16S ribosomal RNA". It matches the Rfam family "Bacterial small subunit ribosomal RNA", at positions 523 to 796 of the family's 1533-position model. The record is from RNAcentral.
AUACGGGGGGGGCGAGCGUUGUCCGGAAUCAUUGGGCGUAAAGGGUGAGUAGGCGGGAUGGUAAGUCAGAGGUGAAAGUCCAGGGCUCAACUCUGGAUCUGCCUCUGAUACUGCUGUCCUUGAGUGCGGGAGAGGGAAGUGGAAUUCCCGGUGUAGCGGUGAAAUGCGUAGAUAUCGGGAAGAACACCAGUGGCGAAGGCGGCUUCCUGGCCCGCAACUGACGCUGAAUCACGAAAGCGUGGGGAGCAAACAGGAGUAGAAACCCGUGUAGUCC